RNAcentral lists this ribosomal RNA (319 nucleotides) under uncultured bacterium. RNAcentral describes it as "bacterial SSU rRNA". It matches the Rfam family "Bacterial small subunit ribosomal RNA", at positions 28 to 334 of the family's 1533-position model. The record is from RNAcentral.
GAUGAACGCUAGCGACAGGCUUAACACAUGCAAGUCGAGGGGCAGCGGGGGCGGAAGCUUGCUUUCGCCCGCCGGCGACCGGCGCACGGGUGAGUAACACGUAUGCAACCUGGCCGCCACAGGGGGAUAACCCGCGGAAACGCGGCCUAAUACCCCGUGACGCCACCGGAGGGCAUCCUCCGGUGGCCAAAGGAGUGAUCCGGUGGCGGAUGGGCAUGCGGCGCAUUAGCUAGACGGCGGGGUGACGGCCCACCGUGGCGACGAUGCGUAGGGGUUCUGAGAGGAAGGCCCCCCACACUGGGACUGAGACACGGCCCAG